UNCGAUUGCGAAGGCAGCUUGCUGGACUGUAACUGACGCUGAGGCACGAAAGCGUGGGGAUCAAACAGGAUUAGAUACCNUGGUANNCCACGCCGUAAACGAUGAAUGCUAGCUGUUAGCGAUAUACUGUUAGCGGCACAGAGAAAUCGUUAAGCAUUCCACCUGGGGAGUACGCCGGCAACGGUGAAACUCAAAGGAAUUGACGGGGGCCCGCACAAGCGGAGGAACAUGUGGUUUAAUUCGAUGAUACGCGAGGAACCUUACCUGGGCUUAAAUUGCAGUGGAAUAACGUGGAAACAUGUUAGCCUUCGGGCCGCUGUGAAGGUGCUGCAUGGUUGUCGUCAGCUCGUGCCGUGAGGUGUCGGCUUAAGUGCCAUAACGAGCGCAACCCUCAUCGAUAGUUACUAACAGGUCAAGCUGAGGACUCUAUCGAGACUGCCGACGUAAGUCGUGAGGAAGGUGGGGAUGACGUCAAAUCAGCACGGCCCUUACGUCCAGGGCUACACACGUGUUACAAUGGGGGGUACAAAGGGCAGCUACCUGGCGACAGGAUGCUAAUCUCAAAAACCUCUCUCAGUUCGGAUUGGAGUCUGCAACCCGACUCCAUGAAGCUGGAUUCGCUAGUAAUCGCGCAUCAGCCACGGCGCGGUGAAUACGUUCCCGGGCCUUGUACACACCGCCCGUCAAGCCAUGGGAGCCGGGGGGACCUGAAGUAUGCAACCGUAAGGAGCGUCCUAGGGUAAAACUGGUGACUGGGGCU
This 760-nucleotide ribosomal RNA is filed under the name uncultured prokaryote. RNAcentral's name for it is "bacterial SSU rRNA". It matches the Rfam family "Bacterial small subunit ribosomal RNA", at positions 708 to 1482 of the family's 1533-position model. The record is from RNAcentral.